RNAcentral lists this transfer RNA (74 nucleotides) under Bacteroidota bacterium. Its description in RNAcentral is "Bacteroidetes bacterium tRNA-Arg". It matches the Rfam family "tRNA". From Rfam's summary of the family: Transfer RNA (tRNA) molecules are approximately 80 nucleotides in length. Their secondary structure includes four short double-helical elements and three loops (D, anti-codon, and T loops). Lineage: Bacteria; Pseudomonadati; Bacteroidota. The record is from RNAcentral. RNAcentral also lists the same sequence under 1 other name.
GGCCCAAUAGUUCAAUUGGAUAGAAUAUCAGAUUUCGGCUCUGAGGGUUGGGGGUUCGAGUCCUCCUUGGGUCA